GAAUCUAAUUGAACGGGUACACAAGUACAUUAGGUAUAAUAUUAUGCGUUUUAAAUUUAUGUCGUAAAUCAUAAUAAAUAUUGAAAAUAUUCUGUCAUUCUGUCAUGCCCCCCCCCCCCCCGCCAAACGUUAGACCACGACGACUAUUUUAAGUAUACAGGUACUAUGCGAUUGUUCAAAUUCGUGUCGUUUUCGUUAUCGGCUAUAGCGAUUUUACGUGUUGGACUCACAGACAUUGGAGAAUAAUAUCUAUGGUCGGAUAGUGCUAAUGUCCUCUCCCUCUCCAGUCGGACGUGAUAUCGGCCCACGUUCGACACGGUCCGUCGUCUUUUUGUGCGUGUGCCGGCGCGAAGCAGCUCUUGUCUCGUCUCGUCCGCGGUCCGUCGUGGGUGCCGUCGACGUUCUUACCGUUCGUGUGAUGCCGACUGCCGUGCGUGCAAAACGUCGUGGUCGUCGCGACGUUCCGCGAUCGGUGCGCGGCGCGAGGACCGGCGACGUUUUAUUUCUCGUUCUGGUCUUGUAACCGUUGUCGUCGAUAGUAAUGAUCGUUUCCCGUUGCUGCACGGGUUUAUUGAUAAAACGGCAACGAGAUAUUAUAAUAUUCUGCCGGUGAUUUAUCGAUCGUGUUAUUACGCGCGGUCAAUACCGGAGUAGAUCGAUCUUUCCAGUGCAGAUUUGUCUACGUUAUUUUUGAAUUCUGAAGACAGGUUUUUGGGAAGCCACAGUGCGUUUAAUCAAUAAACAAUAUACUGUCCCAGGCAAUGAGGUGUCACCAUCCAACAUUGGAAGAACUGUCCACUGUACUGUGGUGAACGGAAGCUGAUCUCAAUUCACGACCGCUUUACCAAUUGCAUUGUCUUUAUUGGACUUGAAUUAUUUGACAUCAGUUUACACUCGAUUUCCAGCGUGUCAAGAAAGACAGCAGGUAUGGAUUAAUUGUUGUAAAUUAACAAACGAAGAAAUUUUACCAAACCAGAAAAUAUGCUCAUUGCAUUUCGAGCCAACUUGUUACAAAUUCACUGAAAAGAGGUGGAUACUUUACCCGAACGCCAAACUAACAAUUUUCAUAAAAGGAAAACCUGUUCCAAAACCCACUAAUCAGGCAUAAAUUAUGUCACUGGCGAAUGUAUAGAACAGUUUCGGAAACUUCAUUGUAGGAAAAAAUUACAACUAAUAGUUGAAUCAUUUUAAACAAUCUAAUUGUAUAAAAUCUAAUAAAUACUAAAAAAAAAAAAUUUUAUAACACUGUUAUAAGUGAUCAAUAUCAUAUAAUACAAUACUUAAUAUGCUUCAAUUUAAUUAUUAA
Aphis gossypii (cotton aphid) is the source of this 1306-nucleotide long non-coding RNA. RefSeq lists it as uncharacterized. The transcript has 4 exons. The record is from RefSeq and is a predicted model, not a curated record. NCBI's taxonomy places the organism in Eukaryota, Metazoa, Arthropoda, Insecta, Hemiptera, Aphididae.